RNAcentral lists this ribosomal RNA (325 nucleotides) under uncultured eukaryote. Its description in RNAcentral is "partial 18S ribosomal RNA". It matches the Rfam family "Eukaryotic small subunit ribosomal RNA", at positions 1470 to 1796 of the family's 1831-position model. The record is from RNAcentral.
CCCUUAGAUGUUCUGGGCCGCACGCGCGCUACACUGACUGCUCCAACAAGUUACCUGGGCUGACAAGCAUCCGGGAAAUCUUGCAAAGGCAGUCGUGAUGGGGAUAGAUUCUUGUAAUUUUUGAUCUUCAACGAGGAAUUCCUAGUAAACGCAAGUCAUCAGCUUGCAUUGAUUACGUCCCUGCCCUUUGUACACACCGCCCGUCGCAUCUACCGAUUGAAUGGAGAGGCAAAAUCUUCGGACCGUGACGCUUGGGAAUCAAAUCUCGGGCUGUCGUGGGAAGUGGAUUAAACCUUUCUAUUUAGAGGAAGGUAAAGUCGUAACA